Daphnia magna is the source of this 1257-nucleotide long non-coding RNA. RefSeq lists it as uncharacterized. The transcript is spliced from 2 exons. Lineage: Eukaryota; Metazoa; Arthropoda; Branchiopoda; Diplostraca; Daphniidae. The record is from RefSeq and is a predicted model, not a curated record.
ACCGCCAUUUAAUCAGUACUACCUGUUUCACCUGAAACUUACAGGAUGCCGUCGGCUCCAGCUCAUAAUUAUGAGGCAGAUAGCAUUUCAAAAAUCUCAUGAAUCGUUAGGUCGUCGUAGUGUUUUGUAUGACUAUAAAUUUACGUAAGCUGAAAUUCAACAUCCUUGAUGACUUGAUUUUGUGCGCCAGAUCCCAUACUACGCCAAAUCAUCUCACCUGCAUUCCAGCAAGUGAAAAGCUUUGUUCUUGAGCUUUGUUCUUGAUGCUUUGACCAGUUUCGACAUGAACGGCAGACUGGUUAAGACAAGAGUUUCACGAUCCUGCUCGUUCCUGCGUUGGGUAAACUUGUUAUGCAAAAAUGAUCCACCAGGGUCGUUUCCAAUCGCCUAUGACCCUGUCUGAGAGAACCUUGAAAUCGAAAUUCCCCGCAUUGCUGGGAACAGACCAAUAUCAAAGACUGCUAUUUACCUGUCAACAGUUUCAUUCUAUACUGAACAGAUGCAUGCAUGUGCGUGAAUAAAUAUUCGGGUAAAGAUUAAAUAACGAUCAUUGUUACACAUUAUUUAUCCUUGAAUUGUUAUUCACGCACAUGCAGGCUUUAUUUAAAUGAGCUAUAUCUAAGAAUGAAUAAAAAAGUGGGAUCAUCGGUCAAAUUAUCGGCCACAGGCCAGCCAUAGCCAUAGGCAUAGGUAAUCCGUUCAUUCACCUAGCUUCCUCCAUUAAGGGGUACAGCGUUCGAAUCGCAAUCGUGCAGCAAUCUAGCCAAGGUGAUUCAGACUACAUAUGGAACCCUACACAGUCUUGAAGCCCUUUUCGACCUGGAAUUAGCGUCAGACAAUGGUCCGAUCCAGGUCCUGAUAAACUAGCCACCACCACGACUCCACGACGACCUUAUACCAUUCGCACAUUUCUGCACCUAUGGUAUUCCACAGUAUAUGUUAUUUGAUGGUUAUAUUGAUCCUUACGAUAGUCUUGAAGCCAUUUUCGACCUGGAAUUAGCGUCAGACAAUCUCCAAAUGGUCCGACAACGUCCAUCACCAUAUAGCCACCAUUUAUCAUAUACUGUGGUAUCCCACAGUAACGGUGCUAGCGAACCAACACCGUUACUAUACUUGGAAUGUUUUAUCAAGUCUUUUAUACUGUUAAAUAGAUGUUGGAAAACAGCUACUGUCCGUUUUGGCAUCUGUUGGACCUUUAUGUUGGAUUUGGUAAAUGAGAUAGACUAAAUUGACGAAAAUAAAAAAUGAACAAUUUUC